This 247-nucleotide ribosomal RNA is filed under the name uncultured bacterium. RNAcentral describes it as "partial 16S ribosomal RNA". It matches the Rfam family "Bacterial small subunit ribosomal RNA", at positions 523 to 769 of the family's 1533-position model. The record is from RNAcentral.
AUACGUAGGUGGCGAAGCGUUAUCCGGAAUUAUUGGGCGUAAAGCGCGCGCAGGCGGAUCUGCCAGUCUGUCUUAAAAGUUCGGGGCUUAACCCCGUGAUGGGAUGGAAACUACAGAUCUAGAGUAUCGGAGAGGAAAGUGGAAUUCCUAGUGUAGCGGUGAAAUGCGUAGAUAUUAGGAAGAACACCAGUGGCGAAGGCGACUUUCUGGACGAAAACUGACGCUGAGGCGCGAAAGCCAGGGGAGC